RNAcentral lists this long non-coding RNA (481 nucleotides) under Homo sapiens (human). RNAcentral's name for it is "HSALNT0087140". Lineage: Eukaryota; Metazoa; Chordata; Mammalia; Primates; Hominidae. The record is from RNAcentral.
CUCCAGAGCUACUGAAAUAUCAUGACCUCUCUCAGACCAGCAUGGAGAAGGGAGGGAUUGCUUCAGGCCAUGAGUAUCAGGUUUUGACUGAAACUUAAAGGUGGGCAGGACUGAUUUAUAUUUACAGAAUCCAGGAUGGGGUGGGAGGAAGAUAGAUUCGAUGACAUGAGCAGUGUACCAGAGGAGGGAAAAUACAGUGUGCCUGGGGAAUGAAGCAGACCAGCAGACCAACAGACCAGCACACCAGCAAGCCAGCUGACCAGCAGACAGAUGGUGAAAUGAUGCGGCAGAGAGAGAGAGGGAAGAGGAACAUCUGGACGCUGAGAGGAGCUUGCCUGGGGGAGGUUGGAGAAGAGUCCAGCCACUGGGCUGCCCGACUUCAGAGGAAGUUCACCUUCCCACUCCAUCCCCACUUCCCACUCCCCAUCCAUCUUGCUGAGAGCCACCUCCACUACUCAAUAAAACCUUGCACUCAUCCUUC